AGAGCGCAGGGUGGAUGCCUUGGCACUAAGAGCCGAAGAAAGACGUGAUAAGCUGCGAAAAGCUGCGGGGAGAUGCAAAUAAUCCUUGAUCCGCAGAUGUCUGAAUGGGGAAACCCGGUACGAAGAACUCGUAUCAUCCAUACGCCAAUCCAUAACGUAUGGAGGGGAACCCGGUGAACUGAAACAUCUAAGUAGCCGGAGGAAGAGAAAGAAACAUCGAUUUUGUUAGUAGCGGCGAGCGAAAGCGAAAGAGGCCAAACCGGAGUGCGUGCACUCCGGGGUUCGGACCGCAUUUAAGAUUCAGUGAUUCUAGCAGAAAGGUUUGGGAAAGCCUGCCGGAGAGGGUGAAAGCCCCGUAAGCGAAAGGAGAACUGACUGAGCGGGAUCCAGAGUACAUCGAGACACGAGAAACCUUGAUGGAAAGAGCGGGGACCACCCCGUAAGCCUAAAUACUACUUAGUGACCGAUAGCGCAUAGUACUGUGAAGGAAAGGUGAAAAGGACCCCGGGAGGGGAGUGAAAGAGAACCUGAAACCCUGUGUUUACAAGCUGUGGAAGUUCUUUAAAUGAACAACCGCGUACUUUUUGUAGAACGGUCCGGCGAGUUGCGGAUACUGGCAAGGUUAAGCACUUAAGGUGCGGAGCCGAAGGGAUACCAAGUCUUAACAGGGCGUUAAGUCAGUAUACGCAGACCCGAAACCGGGUGAUCUAUCCAUGUCCAGGUUGAAGUUGUCGUAAAAGACAAUGGAGGACCGAAGCCACAUCCGUUGAAAAGGGUGGGCAUGAGGUGUGGAUAGGGGAGAAAUUCCAAUCGAACCCGGAGAUAGCUGGUUCUCCUCGAAAUAGCUUUAGGGCUAGCCUCGAUUUAGUCUUAUGGAGGUAGAGCACUGAAUUUCCGCGGGGGCGUCAAAGCUUACCAAAGAAUAUCAAACUCCGAAUGCCAUGUAGAUGAUGAUCGGGAGUCAGACUGCACGAGAUAAGUUGGGCAGUCAAAAGGGAAAGAGCCCAGACCACCGGCUAAGGUCCCAAAGUGCGUGUUAAGUGGAAAAGGAUGUGGGAAUUCGAAGACAACUAGGAUGUUGGCUCAGAAGCAGCCAUACAUUCAAAGAGUGCGUAACAGCUCACUAGUCGAGAGUUCCUGCGCCGAAAAUGUCCGGGGCUGAAACACGACACCGAAGCCGUGGACUCGCAAUGCGAGUGGUAGAGGAGCAUUCUUAAAACCGACGAAGCUGUACCGGAAGGAGCAGUGGAGGGAUAAGAAGAGAGAAUGCCGGAAUGAGUAGCGAGAGAAAGGUGGGAAUCCUUUCGGCCGAAUAUCUAAGGUUUCCAGAGUAAAGCUGAUCUGCUCUGGGUAAGUCGGGGCCUAAGCACAGGUCGCAAGACGUAAGCGAUGGAUAACAGGUUUAGAUUCCUGUACCACGCAUUAUCAGAACUGUAGGGACGCAUGUGGAAAGCACGNAAGCGUGUGAGCCAUGUGCCGAGAAAAGCUGCUAUUGUGUAAUGCGUGCCCGUACCGUAAACCGACACAGGUGGAUGAGGAGAGAAUCCUAAGGCCGACGGAAGAAGCAUUGUUAAGGAAUUCGGCAAAAUGACCCCGUAACUUCGGGAGAAGGGGUGCCUGCGAGAGCAGGCCGCAGAGAAUAGGCUCAAGCAACUGUUUAGCAAAAACACAGGUCUAUGCGAAACCGAAAGGUGAAGUAUAUGGGCUGACGCCUGCCCGGUGCUGGAAGGUUAAGAGGAGAGGUUAGCGAAAGCGAAGCUUUGAAUUUAAGCCCCAGUAAACGGCGGCCGUAACUAUAACGGUCCUAAGGUAGCGAAAUUCCUUGUCGGGUAAGUUCCGACCCGCACGAAAGGCGUAAUGAUUUGAGCACUGUCUCGACAAUGCAUCCGGUGAAAUUGAAGUACCAGUGAAGAUGCUGGUUACCCGCGCCAGGACGGAAAGACCCCAUGGAGCUUUACUCCAGUUUGAUACUGGGAUUCGGUACUGCAUGUACAGGAUAGGUGGGAGACGAAGAAGGAUGGACGCCAGUCUGUCCGGAGUCGCUGUUGGGAUACCACCCCUGUAGUACUGGGUUUCUAACCAGUUGCCAUGAACUGGCAAUGGGACAAUGUCAGGCGGGGAGUUUGACUGGGGCGGUCGCCUCCGAAAGGGUAUCGGAGGCGCUCAAAGGUUCCCUCAGAAUGGUUGGAAACCAUUUGAAGAGUGCAAAGGCAGAAGGGAGCUUGACUGCGACACCGACGGGUGGAGCAGGUACGAAAGUAGGACUUAGUGAUCCGGUGGUAUAAAGUGGGAUUGCCAUCGCUCAACGGAUAAAAGCUACCCUGGGGAUAACAGGCUUAUCACUCCCAAGAGUUCACAUCGACGGAGUGGUUUGGCACCUCGAUGUCGGCUCAUCGCAUCCUGGGGCUGUAGCAGGUCCCAAGGGUUGGGCUGUUCGCCCAUUAAAGCGGUACGCGAGCUGGGUUCAGAACGUCGUGAGACAGUUCGGUCCCUAUCCGGCGCGGGCGGAGGAUAUUUGAGAGGAGCUGUCCUUAGUACGAGAGGACCGGGAUGGACGGACCACUGGUGUAUCUGUUGUCGACCAACGGCAUGGCAGAGUAGCCAAGUCUGGAAGGGAUAAACGCUGAAGGCAUCUAAGCGUGAAGCCCCCCUCAAGAUGAGAUAUCCCUCCUUCGGGAGUAAGACCCCUUGAAGACUACAAGGUAGAUAGGGCAGAGGUGGAAGCAUGGCAACAUGUGGAGCUGACUGUUACUAAUAGGUCGAGGGCUUAAUCU
RNAcentral lists this ribosomal RNA (2774 nucleotides) under Agathobacter rectalis. RNAcentral describes it as "bacterial LSU rRNA". It matches the Rfam family "Bacterial large subunit ribosomal RNA". Lineage: Bacteria; Bacillati; Bacillota; Clostridia; Lachnospirales; Lachnospiraceae. The record is from RNAcentral.